Coregonus clupeaformis (lake whitefish) is the source of this 412-nucleotide long non-coding RNA. RefSeq lists it as uncharacterized. The record is from RefSeq and is a predicted model, not a curated record. NCBI's taxonomy places the organism in Eukaryota, Metazoa, Chordata, Actinopteri, Salmoniformes, Salmonidae. The transcript has 2 exons.
GACGACUUGAGGCCGUUCUGAAGGUGUUCUUAAUGUAUUGUACACUCAGUGUAUAGUCCUACUCCCCGGACUCCCGAACGAGGACCGAGUUUGUUCUUCACGGUAACAUCUGGCAGAGUCUCCCCGCGCGGCCGUAUUGUGUCUGGCCAGUCAUGUAAAGUGGCUUACUCUUGGUAUCAUGGACCUCCAAUCCCUCAGUAAGUUAUUCAUUUGAAGAAGAAGAAGAAGAAGAAGAAGAAGAAGAAACUCCUACAAUAACAGUAUGGUUUCCAGUACCUUCGGUGCUAGGACCCCUAAUUAAUGUGAUUUUACAUAGAAUUUAGAUGUCCUUUGAAGUUAAAUUAAACUAUUUUAGGGUUGUCAUUGAGUUAUGUCUGCCUUGCAAAGUUGUGUUAAAAUAUUGCUAAACACA